AUUUAAGUAGCUUAAAUUAAAGCACACCCCUGAAGAGGGUAGGAUGGGACCCCCUUAAAUA
This 61-nucleotide transfer RNA is filed under the name Amynthas longisiphonus. Its description in RNAcentral is "tRNA-Phe". Lineage: Eukaryota; Metazoa; Annelida; Clitellata; Crassiclitellata; Megascolecidae. The record is from RNAcentral.